This 254-nucleotide ribosomal RNA is filed under the name uncultured bacterium. RNAcentral's name for it is "partial 16S ribosomal RNA". It matches the Rfam family "Bacterial small subunit ribosomal RNA", at positions 524 to 776 of the family's 1533-position model. The record is from RNAcentral.
UACGUAGGGGGCAAGCGUUGUCCGGAAUCAUUGGGCGUAAAGCGCGUGUAGGCGGCUCGAUAAGUCUGCUGUGAAAGUCCAGGGCUCGACCCUGGGAUGCCGGUGGAUACUGUCGAGCUCGAGUCCGGAAGAGGAGUGUGGAAUUCCUGGUGUAGCGGUGAAAUGCGCAGAUAAUCAGGAGGAACACCAAUGGCGAAGGCAGCUCGCUGGGACGGUACUGACGCUGAGACGCGAAAGCGUGGGGAGCAAACAGG